Molecule: small nucleolar RNA, 81 nt
Organism: Cajanus cajan (pigeon pea)
Lineage: Eukaryota; Viridiplantae; Streptophyta; Magnoliopsida; Fabales; Fabaceae
Rfam family: Small nucleolar RNA Z102/R77
About the family: Z102 and R77 and are members of the C/D class of snoRNA which contain the C (UGAUGA) and D (CUGA) box motifs. Most of the members of the box C/D family function in directing site-specific 2'-O-methylation of substrate RNAs.
Source: Rfam
GGAUGGGAUGAUGAUUAUUUUUUCCCUAUUGGUUUGAUUGCCGCCAUGAUGGCAUUUUGUAUUAGCUCUAUCUGACCAUUC